UUAACUGAAGCCAAAGAGAGGCAUGCCACUGUUAAUGGUAUUAAUGAAUUUUGUAAUUCCAGUUAAA
Molecule: transfer RNA, 67 nt
Filed under: Macromia manchurica
Lineage: Eukaryota; Metazoa; Arthropoda; Insecta; Odonata; Macromiidae
Description: tRNA-Asn
Source: RNAcentral